RNAcentral lists this ribosomal RNA (2442 nucleotides) under metagenome. RNAcentral describes it as "bacterial LSU rRNA". It matches the Rfam family "Bacterial large subunit ribosomal RNA", at positions 167 to 2539 of the family's 2925-position model. The record is from RNAcentral.
UAUCACUGUUAAGGUUCGCCCGCAGAUGCGGGAGCCGCAAUAAACCAUAUGACUUUAUUUUAGACAAGCAAAAUUUCAUGGAAAAAUGAGCGAAUGGCAUAAAAUUUUUAGAAACGGCCCCGUUUUGACUCAUUCCCCGGAGGAAAAGAAAGUAAAAACGAUUCCGAAAGUAGUGGCGAGCGAAAUCGGAGAAGCCCAAACCAAACAUAGUAAUAUGUUUGGGGUAAGGACCGCGAGAUAGUAUCGGAAUGGGUAGUCGAAGUAUCUGGAAAGGUACUGCAAAGAGGGUGAAACACCCGUAGACGAAACCUUGAACGAGCGAGCGGAAUCCGGAGUACGUCGGGACAGCAGAAAUCCAGAAGGAAGAAAUGGGGACCAUCCCAAAAGGCUAAAUACGACCAUGUGACCGAUAGCGAAUAGUACCGUGAGGGAAAGGUGAAAAGAACCCCGGGAGGGGAGUGAAAUAGAACCUGAAACCCUGCACUUACAAGCUGUGGGAGCACAUUACUUGUGUGACCGCGUACUUUUUGUAGAACGGGCCAACGAGUUACGUUAAGUAGCAAGGUUAAGCACUUAAGGUGUGGAGCCGUAGCGAAAGCGAGUCUUAAAUGGGCGAUUAAGUUACUUGGCGUAGACCCGAAACCGGGCGACCUAUCCAUGAGCAGGUUGAAGCGAAAGUAAAAUUUCGUGGAGGACCGAACCCACGAGCGUUGAAAAGCUCGGGGAUGACUUGUGGAUAGCGGUGAAAUUCCAAUCGAGCCCGGAGAUAGCUGGUUCUCCCCGAAAUAGCUUUAGGGCUAGCCUCAAGCGUAGAGAAACGGAGGUAGAGCACUGAAUGUCCUAGGGGGUAUUGCACUUACCGAAGACUAUCAAACUCCGAAUGCCGUUUUCUUUUACUUGGGAGUCAGACUGUGGGUGAUAAGAUUCAUAGUCAAAAGGGCAACAGCCCAGAUCGUCAGCUAAGGUCCCUAAAUGUACGUUAAGUGGUAAAGGAUGUGGGAUUGCACAGACAACCAGGAUGUUGGCUUAGAAGCAGCCACUCAUUUAAAGAGUGCGUAAUAGCUCACUGGUCGAGUGAUCCUGCGCCGAAAAUUUCCGGGGCUAAAACGUACUACCGAAGCUACGGCAUCAUUUAUGAUGGGUAGGGGAGCUUCGUAUGCAGGCUGAAGCAUGACCGUAAGGACAUGUGGACAGUAUACGAGUGAGAAUGUUGGCAUGAGUAGCGAGACGUGGGUGAGAAUCCCACGGGCCGUAAACCCAAGGUUUCCAGGGGAAGGUUCGUCCGCCCUGGGUUAGUCGGGACCUAAGCCGAGGCCGAAAGGCGUAGGUGAUGGACAACAGGUUGAUAUUCCUGUACCGCCAAUAAGCGUUUGAGAGAUGGAGUGACACAGUAGGAUAAGCUAACCGUACUGUUGGUUAUGUACGGCUAAGCAUUGAGGCAGUCUAAAUAGGCAAAUCCGUUUAGACAAUGCUAGGAUGUGAUGGGGAAGCCCUUCGGGGCGAAGUAGCUGAUUUCACACUGUCAAGAAAAGCUUCUAUCGAGUUUAAAGGCGCCCGUACCGUAAACCGACACAGGUGGGUGAGGAGAGUAUCCUAAGGCCAGCGAGAGAACUAUUGUUAAGGAACUCGGCAAAAUGACCCCGUAACUUAGGGAGAAGGGGUGCCUGUCUAUGACAGGCCGCAGAGAAUAGGCCCAAGCGACUGUUUACCAAAAACACAGGUUUCUGCUAAGUCGCAAGACGAUGUAUAGGAGCUGACGCCUGCCCGGUGCUGGAAGGUUAAGGGGAUCUGUUAGAGCAAUCGAAGCAGUGAACUUAAGCCCCAGUAAACGGCGGCCGUAACUAUAACGGUCCUAAGGUAGCGAAAUUCCUUGUCGGGUAAGUUCCGACCCGCACGAAAGGCGUAACGAUUUGGGCACUGUCUCAACAAUAGACUCGGUGAAAUUGUAAUCCCGGUGAAGAUGCCGGGUACCUGCGACAGGACGGAAAGACCCCAUGGAGCUUUACUGUAGCUUGACGUUGGGUCUUGGUACUACAUGUACAGGAUAGGUGGGAGACUAUGAAGCAUGGACGCCAGUCUGUGUGGAGUCAUCCUUGGGAUACCACCCUUGUAGUACUGGGAUCCUAACCAUAGGCCUUGAAUCAGGUCUUGGAACACCGUCAGGUGGGCAGUUUGACUGGGGCGGUCGCCUCCUAAAAAGUAACGGAGGCGCUCAAAGGUUUCCUCAGCACGGUCGGAAAUCGUGCGAAGAGUGUAAAGGCAAAAGGAAGCUUGAUUGCAAGACAUACAGGUCGAGCAAGGACGAAAGUCGGACUUAGUGAUCCGGUGGUACCGCAUGGAAGGGCCAUCGCUCAACGGAUAAAAGCUACCCUGGGGAUAACAGGCUUAUCUCCCCCAAGAGUCCACAUCGACGGGGAGGUUUGGCACCUCGAUGUCGGCUCA